This is a long non-coding RNA of Camellia sinensis, 640 nucleotides long. RefSeq lists it as uncharacterized. Lineage: Eukaryota; Viridiplantae; Streptophyta; Magnoliopsida; Ericales; Theaceae. The record is from RefSeq and is a predicted model, not a curated record.
UAUCUCUCUCUCUCUCUCUCUCUCUCUCCCCAGUCUCAUCCCUCAGAGCAAACGAAGUGGUUGCUGCGAAACCCUAGCCACAUACAGAGAAUAAAGAGGAGUAGGAGAACCAAGGCAAUUGCUGCGAAAAUCCCAAGCAUUUUCAGAUGUCAAUUUCGUGUUAGCGGCAGUACCUCAGAUCAUUUGACAUAUUUGAACAAAAAUUGUCCUAAAUGUCGGAAAAAAGCAAUUAUUUGAAUUUCUGAGACGGAGCGAAACAAAAAAAAGUUAUUUUAUUGUUGUCAUGAUUGCGGUGCUUUUCUUGGAUGGUGCUUCCUUACAAAUUCACAAUGUACACAUGAAAGACAAGUGCAAAUGGACAAUAUAGCAACCGUCACCGAACAACUUCAAAGUAUGGGAGAACACCUUUGAUUUCAAAGCAACCAACUUCAAUUUUAGAGCACGUAGAUGCAAAAAUUGCAGACAUACAUAAAUCGAAGUUGGUGUUGUAUUUGUGGGAUCUUCUUUCUUGUAAUUGGUGUUGUAUUAGUUUUGAAGAUGUAAUAAUUUAUAUGAAAGUUAGAAGUUGAAAUCGAUGAUAUGUAUGACAGUUAUUUUUGAGACGUAUGAAGAUGUAAUCUGUUAUCUGUUUGUCUGUUUG